GGCUGCAGACAGACGUUUAAUGCUUUUUAUUUGCUUGUUAUGCCAGCCACAUAAACAGCAACUUGCAAAAGUGAUACACCAUAGACUGGGGCCGACUAAGGUGAUAACACAAUUGGACCAUUUUGAUCACAGCUAGCUCCUGGCUCCUUUUAUCCUAGGGAUGUACACCAGUUAUAUGAAAGAUUACACAAUGGAAACUAAAUGCACCCAGGAAGAGAGAUACACAGAAGAUAGAGCAUAAAGAGAAUUGAACACCAGCUGUACCCAGGUUGGACAUGAGUAGAGUACAACAUAGAGAGCCAGGAGUCAGGCUAAGGAAGGCCCGAAAAUUUAUCCUGGGUCACAUCAUCAUUACUACAUGAUGAAUUCACCUCAGGCUAAAUGAGAAAUACCACCUGAGAUUGAGCUUCUCCCCCAUUCUCAGCUGUUGCGCAUGUUCAACAUUUGCAGUUUUCAGUCAAUCAUGGGUCCAAAGAAUGUUUUCCAUUUCUGCUUUAACCAGUUUUAGGUUCCAAUCAGAUAAUAUCUCAGUCACUGUAUUUGUACAG
This is a long non-coding RNA of Stegostoma tigrinum, 548 nucleotides long. RefSeq lists it as uncharacterized. The record is from RefSeq and is a predicted model, not a curated record. The transcript has 3 exons. NCBI's taxonomy places the organism in Eukaryota, Metazoa, Chordata, Chondrichthyes, Orectolobiformes, Stegostomatidae.